AGAGUUUGAUCAUGGCUCAGGAUGAACGCUAGCGGCAGGCCUAACACAUGCAAGUCGAACGGUAACAGAUCUUUCGGGAUGCUGACGAGUGGCGCACGGGUGCGUAACGCGUAUGCAACUUACCCUUAACAGGGGGAUAGCCCAUGGAAACGUGGAUUAAUACCCCAUAACAUAUAAUCUUCGCAUGUUGAUUAUAUUAAAACUUCGGUGGUUAAGGAUAGGCAUGCGUCCUAUUAGCUAGUUGGUAAGGUAAUGGCUUACCAAGGCAACGAUAGGUAGGGGGCCUGAGAGGGUAAUCCCCCACACUGGUACUGAGACACGGACCAGACUCCUACGGGAGGCAGCAGUGAGGAAUAUUGGGCAAUGGACGAAAGUCUGACCCAGCCAUGCCGCGUGCAGGAAGACGGCCCUAUGGGUUGUAAACUGCUUUUAUAUAGGAAGAAACCCCCCGACGUGUCGGGGGCUGACGGUACUAUAGGAAUAAGCACCGGCUAACUCCGUGCCAGCAGCCGCGGUAAUACGGAGGGUGCAAGCGUUAUCCGGAUUCAUUGGGUUUAAAGGGUCCGUAGGCGGGUCUUUAAGUCAGUGGUGAAAGCCUGCAGCUCAACUGCAGAACUGCCAUUGAUACUGGAGACCUUGAGUAUGGUUGAAGUGGGCGGAAUGUGUCAUGUAGCGGUGAAAUGCAUAGAUAUGACACAGAACACCGAUUGCGAAGGCAGCUCACUAAGUCAUAACUGACGUUGAGGGACGAAAGCGUGGGGAGCGAACAGGAUUAGAUACCCUGGUAGUCCACGCCGUAAACGAUCAUCACUCGCUGUUGGCGAUAUACAGUCAGCGGCCAAGCGAAAGCAUUAAGUGAUGCACCUGGGGGUACGAUCGCAAGAUUGAAACUCAAAGGAAUUGACGGG
RNAcentral lists this ribosomal RNA (908 nucleotides) under uncultured bacterium. RNAcentral describes it as "bacterial SSU rRNA". It matches the Rfam family "Bacterial small subunit ribosomal RNA", at positions 8 to 917 of the family's 1533-position model. The record is from RNAcentral.